This is a long non-coding RNA of Drosophila willistoni, 885 nucleotides long. RefSeq lists it as uncharacterized. NCBI's taxonomy places the organism in Eukaryota, Metazoa, Arthropoda, Insecta, Diptera, Drosophilidae. The record is from RefSeq and is a predicted model, not a curated record. The transcript is spliced from 3 exons.
AACAACUGAAACAAAAAACGGAGAGAGAUAAAUUUAAAAAUUUGGUGCAAAUUGUGUGUGUUUUUUUUAUACAUAUAUAAUUAUUUAACAACUUGAACUGAAUCACACUCAAUUAGGUAUGCUAAUUGAGUAGUAGAAGAAGAAGAAAAGAAAACAUUAUCAUAAAUAAAUCGCCUCAUACUUUGCUACAAAUAGUCAAAUGAACGAACAAACGGACAGCAGCUCAUAAAUUCUCAGGAAAAAAACAACCAAGUGACAAACUGAUCAAUUUCAACGACGGUCUCGUUUUGUGUGAUCUUCCCCGACAACAACAACAACGACGAAACGAAGCUACAACGACGACGACUUUUGCAUGCUAAACAAUUUGGUUGUACACACAAUUGGCAUAUAAAUUUUUUAACAGCCACCAAAUUGCAAGCAAAGACCCACUAAACAAAGCAGGUGGAGGAUCUAACCAGGUGUUGUAUGGAGUGAGCUCUACCUUCAUUUCGUUUCGUUUCGUUAUCGUGUGCUAAAUCUUAAAACAUUUUCCAAACAUUUCUAGUACAUGAAACACCUAACUCUCUGGAAAUGAACUUCAAUCAUUAUUAUUCUUUAGGAGUUAAGCUUAACGGUACGUUUCUUGUUAUCCGAUCAAAGAUUAUAAUCAAUCUACACAUGCUUGGCAUUUGAUCAAGGACAGAGAAAGAAAAGAAAAAAAACAAGCUGCGAAAAGUUUGAAAAGUUAAUGGAGAAUAAAAGAGACGAACAAGUGAAAGUGGUCAGCCUAAAUUGUUUGAGAAUAAAUAACAUAAUAAUAAUAAUUUCAAUGAAUCUAAUCCCAAUUAAAAGGUUUAUAUCUAUUUUAAUUUCAACAACAGAAAAGGAUAUUGAGAACAUUCCACA